GAUGAAGAACGCAGCGAAAUGCGAUACGUAAUGUGAAUUGCAGAAUUCAGUGAAUCAUCGAGUCUUUGAACGCACAUUGCGCCCCCUCGUAUUCCGGGGGGCAUGCCUGUCCGAGCGUCAUUGCUGCCCUCAAGCCCGGCUUGUGUGUUGGGUCUCGUCCCCCUUCCCGGGGGGACGGGCCCGAAAGGCAGCGGCGGCACCGCGUCCGGUCCUCGAGCGUAUGGGGCUUUGUCACCCGCUCUGUAGGCCCGGCCGGCGCUUGCCGAUCAACCAAAACUUUUUUCCAGGUUGACCUCGGAUCAGGUAGGGAUACCCGCUGAACUUAAGCAUAUCAAUAAGCGGAGGA
Molecule: unclassified non-coding RNA, 346 nt
Filed under: soil metagenome
Description: partial contains 5.8S ribosomal RNA, internal transcribed spacer 2, and large subunit ribosomal RNA
Rfam family: 5.8S ribosomal RNA (bases 1-120)
Source: RNAcentral